GUGGGUAUAGCUCAGUGGUAGAGCAUUUUACUGCAGAUCAAGAGGUUCCUGGUUCAAAUCUGGGUGCCCCCU
RNAcentral lists this transfer RNA (72 nucleotides) under Loxodonta africana (African savanna elephant). It matches the Rfam family "tRNA". Rfam says of the family: Transfer RNA (tRNA) molecules are approximately 80 nucleotides in length. Their secondary structure includes four short double-helical elements and three loops (D, anti-codon, and T loops). Further hydrogen bonds mediate the characteristic L-shaped molecular structure. tRNAs have two regions of fundamental functional importance: the anti-codon, which is responsible for specific mRNA codon recognition, and the 3' end, to which the tRNAs corresponding amino acid is attached (by aminoacyl-tRNA synthetases). tRNAs cope with the degeneracy of the genetic code in two manners: having more than one tRNA (with a specific anti-codon) for a particular amino acid; and 'wobble' base-pairing, i.e. permitting non-standard base-pairing at the 3rd anti-codon position. The record is from Rfam by way of RNAcentral. Lineage: Eukaryota; Metazoa; Chordata; Mammalia; Proboscidea; Elephantidae.